AAUGAACGUUGGCGGCGUGGAUUAGGCAUGCAAGUCGCACGAGAAGUCUUAAUUUGAAGCUUCGGUGGAUUAUUGAGGUGGAAAGUGGCGAAAGGGAGAGUAACGCGUGGACAACUUACCCCCGGGUCUGGGAUAGCUGUGGGAAACCGCAGGUAAUACCGGAUAACGUCUCCGGACCAAAGGUGUGAUUCCGCCUGGGGAUGGGUCCGCGUCCUAUUAGCUUGUUGGUGGGGUAAAGGCCUACCAAGGCAACGAUGGUUAGCGGGUCUGAGAGGACGAUCCGUCACACUGGAACUGAGACACGGUCCAGACUCCUACGGGAGGCAGCAGUGGGGAAUAUUGCGCAAUGGGGGCAACCCUGACGCAGCAAUGCCGCGUGAGUGAAGAAGGCCUUCGGGUCGUAAAGCUCUUUUAUGGGGGAAGAUGAU
Molecule: ribosomal RNA, 428 nt
Filed under: uncultured SAR276 cluster bacterium
Lineage: Bacteria; Deltaproteobacteria
Description: bacterial SSU rRNA
Rfam family: Bacterial small subunit ribosomal RNA
Source: RNAcentral